Molecule: RNA transcript, 933 nt
Organism: Schistocerca serialis cubense
Lineage: Eukaryota; Metazoa; Arthropoda; Insecta; Orthoptera; Acrididae
Exons: 6
Source: RefSeq, a predicted model, not a curated record
CAGAUGGCAUCUACAGACGGCGUGUGGAAGACACGAGCUAUUUUGAGGUCCGUCCGUAGUGGCGCACGAAACAACAGUAAACUCGGGAUCCGUCCGCAAUGUGUUAAGGAAAGAGUCACGACCGAAGAGAGAGCAACGCCAGCAGUGGCAGGAGGAGCUUGUCACUGUCGAACUGGACGACACGUCCUCACUGAGAGCUCUGCCCGGAGAGACGGCCCAGGUCCGGCUGCGCUUCAUCAACCAGAGGAGCGUCGCCGUCGCGCUCUACCUCACAAUCGCCGAUACGCACAACUUCAUUACAGCCGGUGUGAGACGAGUUUAUGUUGGCCAACAAGACGUUGAAACGUUAUCAAUUACUGUUACUAUACCAGGAGACACGCCUCUGAGAACACUAGACUUAAUAACCAUCAGCUCAGCAGAAACACAAAACUUCAAAGCAAUAAAUGCAACCGUCUAUUUUUACGUCACGGAAGAGGUUGUAGACACAACUCAGCCAUCUGUAAGUCACAGAAUCACCAAAAACUGUGAUGGAGCACUAGAACCUACUACAUGCUCUUACAGAAAUUGGACUUUUGAAGCUACAGUGAAGGAUGACAGUUCUGGAAUACGCAAAAUAACAACACAGCCUGUUCAACUACAAAAACCAGACCACUUAGUGAUGGGCAUCAGAGGCACAAUAACAUACCAAUAUAGUGUUAGUUGCUGCAUUAAUGAAGUCGAGAUAUUAGUCACUGACGUAGCUGGAAAUUUUGUGAGAUACAAAAUAAAUGUUUUGGGAUUUACUCUUGGAACUGGUGAAAUUAUAGCUAUUGUGUUGGCUGUUAUAAUUAUUAUAUUGUUAAUCGUUUUAAUAAUUGUUUGUGUACAUCAAAAGAAGAAAUCUCAUAGUUUUCCCAUGUCAAGAGACUGAACAGAAUCACAAAGACUUUUCUA